RNAcentral lists this ribosomal RNA (253 nucleotides) under uncultured bacterium. RNAcentral describes it as "partial 16S ribosomal RNA". It matches the Rfam family "Bacterial small subunit ribosomal RNA", at positions 524 to 776 of the family's 1533-position model. The record is from RNAcentral.
UACGGAGGGUGCGAGCGUUGUCCGGAAUCACUGGGCGUAAAGCGCACGUAGGCGGCUUUCUAAGUCAGGGGUGAAAUCCUGGAGCUCAACUCCAGAACUGCCUUUGAUACUGGAGAGCUUGAGUCCGGAAGAGGUGAGUGGAACUCCGAGUGUAGAGGUGAAAUUCGUAGAUAUUCGGAAGAACACCAGUGGCGAAGGCGGCUCACUGGUCCGGUACUGACGCUGAGGUGCGAAAGCGUGGGGAGCAAACAGG